RNAcentral lists this ribosomal RNA (116 nucleotides) under Pteropus alecto (black flying fox). The record is from RNAcentral. Lineage: Eukaryota; Metazoa; Chordata; Mammalia; Chiroptera; Pteropodidae.
GUCUACGGCCAUGCCACCCUGAACAAGCCUGAUGUCUGAUCUCGAAAGCUAAGCAGGGUUGGUCCUAGUUAGUACUUGGAUGGGAGACUGCCUAGAAAGACCAGAUGCUGUAGGGA